CUGGCACAGAGCUGUCUUCCUGUAACCAGUUCUUGCACUUUAGAUGGGAGCACCUAUCCAUGCCUGUUGUGACAGGGUCAAGCCAGAUGACUACAGGAGCGUGAUAGAAGGCAGAUAUAUUAGCCCCAGAGUACGCGAGAUGUCUGAUUGCAGAAGUUGAUCAUCAGAGCUGGCACGGCGGCACCAGUGGCGGCUGCAUUCUCUUCCCAUUCUCGCUACUGCCUGGCAGCCUGGGCCUCCCGCCUGCCUCAUUUUGGCAGAAUUGAUACCUGAUUCUGCGAGACGGUCAUAAUGGAGACACCUUGCCGAUGUGGUUGUCAGGUAGCGAUAACAACGAUCCUCUGCCCUUCUCCAGAGUCUUCCGCGCUGAUGCUGUAUAUGUUCAAUGCAAGCUACAUCUUUGCCAAAACAGUUUCUUUCUUACAUGAAGCCAUCAGCAUCUCCAGCCUGUCAGCCUGGAUGACGCAGUCAUGGAAGGCACUGGGGAUUCCACUACAGGCACAAGUCUUGGAAAACUUGAAGUGCUAAUCACUAGGAAGUUAAUUUCAGCUGUAGAGUGGUGCUCACAGAUCCCAGCAUGUGGUGAGAAUUUGAUCCCGGAGAUACCGAACCUUGAUGGGUUUUCUGUGAAGGAUAAAUGUGCAG
Long non-coding RNA from Mauremys reevesii (Reeves's turtle), 645 nucleotides. RefSeq lists it as uncharacterized. The record is from RefSeq and is a predicted model, not a curated record. Lineage: Eukaryota; Metazoa; Chordata; Testudines; Geoemydidae. The transcript is spliced from 4 exons.